UAACUGAAGAGUUUGAUCAUGGCUCAGAUUGAACGCUGGCGGCAGGCUUAACACAUGCAAGUCGAGCGGGGGAAGGUAGCUUGCUACUGGACCUAGCGGCGGACGGGUGAGUAAUGCUUAGGAAUCUGCCUAUUAGUGGGGGACAACAUUUCGAAAGGAAUGCUAAUACCGCAUACGUCCUACGGGAGAAAGCAGGGGAUCUUCGGACCUUGCGCUAAUAGAUGAGCCUAAGUCGGAUUAGCUAGUUGGUGGGGUAAAGGCCUACCAAGGCGACGAUCUGUAGCGGGUCUGAGAGGAUGAUCCGCCACACUGGGACUGAGACACGGCCCAGACUCCUACGGGAGGCAGCAGUGGGGAAUAUUGGACAAUGGGCGCAAGCCUGAUCCAGCCAUGCCGCGUGUGUGAAGAAGGCCUUAUGGUUGUAAAGCACUUUAAGCGAGGAGGAGGCUACUUUAGAUAAUACCUAGAGAUAGUGGACGUUACUCGCAGAAUAAGCACCGGCUAACUCUGUGCCAGCAGCCGCGGUAAUACAGAGGGUGCAAGCGUUAAUCGGAUUUACUGGGCGUAAAGCGCGCGUAGGCGGCUAAUUAAGUCAAAUGUGAAAUCCCCGAGCUUAACUUGGGAAUUGCAUUCGAUACUGGUUAGCUAGAGUG
RNAcentral lists this ribosomal RNA (653 nucleotides) under Negativicoccus succinicivorans. Its description in RNAcentral is "bacterial SSU rRNA". It matches the Rfam family "Bacterial small subunit ribosomal RNA", at positions 1 to 648 of the family's 1533-position model. Lineage: Bacteria; Bacillati; Bacillota; Negativicutes; Veillonellales; Veillonellaceae. The record is from RNAcentral.